RNAcentral lists this microRNA precursor (85 nucleotides) under Erinaceus europaeus (western European hedgehog). Its description in RNAcentral is "miRNA (ENSEEUG00000019487.1)". Lineage: Eukaryota; Metazoa; Chordata; Mammalia; Eulipotyphla; Erinaceidae. The record is from RNAcentral.
UGUGUGUGUGUGUGUGUGUGUGUGUGUGUGUGUGUGUGUGUGUGAUUCCAGAUGCCAGGUGGGGAACAGCACCCCGCCGCCCACA